Molecule: signal recognition particle RNA, 266 nt
Filed under: Dehalococcoidia bacterium
Lineage: Bacteria; Bacillati; Chloroflexota; Dehalococcoidia
Description: signal recognition particle sRNA large type
Rfam family: Bacterial large signal recognition particle RNA
About the family: The signal recognition particle (SRP) is a universally conserved ribonucleoprotein involved in the co-translational targeting of proteins to membranes. Archaeal SRP consists of a 7S RNA and homologues of the eukaryotic SRP19 and SRP54 proteins.
Source: RNAcentral
CCGUGCUAGGCGGGGAGCUAGCGGUGCCCUGUACCCGAAAACCGCUAUAGCGGGGCUGAAUUCUUGCUUGAGGUUCUUGGUCGGAUAGAUUUGUUUUUGCUGAGCGGUGUUGAUAGUUGGGUUCUAUGCAACCGGGGGCUAUGAACCCCGUCAGGUCCGGAAGGAAGCAGCGGUAAGUAGUAUUGCCGGUGUGCCAUAGAGUUGCCUGGCUGGAGCUAGCUGGUGGAGACAGCUUUCCGCUCUGAGAAACGAGAGCGAGUGCACGG